This 502-nucleotide ribosomal RNA is filed under the name uncultured bacterium. RNAcentral's name for it is "bacterial SSU rRNA". It matches the Rfam family "Bacterial small subunit ribosomal RNA", at positions 30 to 504 of the family's 1533-position model. The record is from RNAcentral.
UGAACGCUGGCGGCGUGCUUAACACAUGCAAGUCGUACGAGAACACUUCUGCUUGCAGAAGUUAGUAAAGUGGCGCACGGGUGAGUAACGCGUGGGUAAUCUACCUCCGAAUCGGGGAUAACAUUACGAAAGCGAUGCUAAUACCGGAUAAUAUCUAUUGAUUUCCGGGUCUUUAGAUCAAAGGUGGCCUCUUCUUGAAAGCUAUCGAUUGGAGAUGAGCUCGCGUACCAUUAGCUUGUUGGUGGGGUAAUGGCCUACCAAGGCGACGAUGGUUAGCUGGUCUGAGAGGAUGAUCAGCCACACUGGAACUGACACACGGUCCAGACUCCUACGGGAGGCAGCAGUGAGGAAUUUUGCGCAAUGGGCGAAAGCCUGACGCAGCAACGCCGCGUGAGUGAUGAAGGCUUUUGGGUCGUAAAGCUCUGUCAAGUGGGAAGAAACCGUAUAUGGCUAAUAUCCAUAUGCACUGACGGUACCACUGAAGGAAGCACCGGCUAACUCC